Microtus ochrogaster (prairie vole) is the source of this 128-nucleotide small nucleolar RNA. Ensembl annotates it as predicted gene, 22676. The record is from Ensembl. NCBI's taxonomy places the organism in Eukaryota, Metazoa, Chordata, Mammalia, Rodentia, Cricetidae.
GGGGUGUGCUCAGAGCAGGGGGCCUGAAGAAUGGCUUCUCUGUUUAUACCACACCCAAAAGGAAGCUGGUCAUGUGUGAGGAGGCUUACAGAACGUUUCGCCUUCCUCUGAGCAAAUGGCCUACACAU